GACGAACGCUGGCGGCGUGCUUAAUACAUGCAAGUCGAACGGACAGGCCCUGCUCUUGUGGGGUGCUCGAGUGCCGAACGGGUGAGUAACACGUGAGUAACCUGCCCUUGACUUUGGGAUAACUUCAGGAAACUGGGGCUAUUACCGGAUAGGAGCUCCUGCUGCAUGGUGGGGGAUGGAAAGUUUCGGCGGUUGGGGCUGGACUCGCGGCUUAUCAGCUUGAUGGUCGAGUAGUGGCUUACCAAGGGUUUGACGGAUAGCCGGCCUGAGAGGGUGACCGGCGACAAUGGGACUGCGGGACGGAGCAGUCGCCUACGGGAGGCAGCAGUGGGGAAUAUUGCACAAUGAGCGGGAGCGUGAGGCAACGGCGCCGGGUGCGGGAUGACCGCCUACGGGGUGAAAACCGCUUUGGCCUGAAACGAAGCCUGAUUGACGGUAAUGGGUAAAGAAGCACCGGCUAACUACGUG
RNAcentral lists this ribosomal RNA (468 nucleotides) under uncultured bacterium. RNAcentral describes it as "partial 16S ribosomal RNA". It matches the Rfam family "Bacterial small subunit ribosomal RNA", at positions 28 to 507 of the family's 1533-position model. The record is from RNAcentral.